Molecule: long non-coding RNA, 1752 nt
Filed under: Numida meleagris (helmeted guineafowl)
Lineage: Eukaryota; Metazoa; Chordata; Aves; Galliformes; Numididae
Description: lncRNA (ENSNMEG00000009137.1)
Source: RNAcentral
GAAAUAAUAAUACGUAUUUUUUCCUCUUGGCACUAAGUGGAAAAAAGGACAAAACCACCUCACAAUUAACUAGUUGUUUGUUACGCUGACAAAUGGCUUUCUGGGGUUCCUUAGUCUCAGUGCUCAUUUUGAAUUAUCGGUUCCUUACCCAGGCUGUCAGAUCCAAACGCUCUGCGGACGAGCUGUAGAAUAUAUCACACUGAUUCAAUAUUUAUGCUCUGCAAUGGGCCUGACUCCUACCCGCGCGCCAAACUUACAGACAAUCCAACCCCAGCCAGACAGGCCCUCAACAGUCAUGUCUUAAUGAAAAUUUUCUCCAGCUGAGGGUGGAGGAGGGUCAUCCUCAGCACAGCCUGGGGGGAAAUUUCCAGCAUCAAGCUUCUCAGUUCUGACCAGCCUCACCUGAGCCUCCUGCCCACACCCAUGGGCCCGGAGACCAUUUGAGAUCAGUUUGGUGCUGUCCUUCCUUCCUUAGUCUGUGCUGGAGGAGCACAGGUCUCCAGCUGAGCAUAUCCAUGCUGCGUGUCCAUGAGGAGCCAUCUGAACGAGGUGGUCCUUCUGCUAACAAGAUGAAGGUGAUGUCAGAGGAUAAAUUCAGCUGCAGAUUUUCCACGUUUCCAAACUAUCUGUCAUACCUGGUAAUUCCCCACGCCGGCUUCUUCUUGCUAAUAGGAAGACAGAAGGGAGGAAGGAAGGUCUGUGACAACCAGGCGUGUUCUACGUGUCAGCUUUUUCCUUUGUGCGCCUUCUAGCAUGUAGGCGUCUGAUGGCAGAGUAUCAAUAGAGGAUGUAUUGAAUCAUCAGCAGAGGGGAGAAAAAGGAGCAACGUUGCCUAUUCCUCCUUUUGGGUGAAAUAUGUCUGAAAAUGUUUCAUUUUUCACUUUAAAGGCAAGAUGGAAUUGCAAAAGACUUCAAUGCUUUAGGGACAGUUAGUUUGGUAACAGCCAGGCCAUUCUUCUCUCUGUCAGGGCUUGGGCAGGUUUUGAAAUGCCAGUGGUAAGGCACGAGAAAUGCUCCUUUGUUGUAAGCGGGAAAUUUUCAUUCAAAAGCUUUUCAUACAAUCCAUUUGAUCACCGCAAUCAACUGGAAUUAUUACAUCAUUUAGGCAAGUUACUGUAGCAUUAAUGGUUGCUCUGUUGUAGUUAACUGAGAGAAGGAAACAAAUCUCCCCCUUAGAACCAUUUUUGUCUUUCAUCAGAACUGAUGCAAUAACAGUUCCCGUGUCGUGGGGUAUAUAUCUCCCUGGGAAAGUUCCCAGCACGCCUUCAGAAGGACGGCGAGUGCAGUCAUGCAUACUUAUAGAAGCCUUCCUGAGAGAUGGACCAACACCUCCUGUUUUUUCAGGGCGCCAUUUCUUUAUCCUUUCACUGCUGCUGCCCUUUGACAAUGAUUUGCCUGCUUGAAAAAACUGUGUGAAAAGCUUAUUUGUAAUAUGUUGUUGCACGGCUCUUUUUCAUUCUUUUCUCACUUCUUGGUUGGAAUUCAGAAGGAUUUAGGGGUGGAAGGGAACAGAGCUAACCCAAAUUAACUUCCAUGUUGAGCUGUUAGGAAGCUUUUCCAUCUGACACAAAGACCAGCUGUACUGGGACAGCACCGUGUGCCACAGCUGCCAACACAGGAAAAAUCAACAAGGAGUAGAUAUGAUAGUACCUAGAACAGUAGAAAUGAUAUUUAUCAUUUAUCAGUAAAAAUCCUCAGAAGUAGAGCUCACUGGGAUCUUUGGUUUAAACAACAGCACCUCUGGUUUUAAGA